ACAAAGGCAGAUGUGUAUAACUUUGGAGUUGUUGUACUUAUAGUUGUUAGUGGAAAGAAAGAAAAGAUUUCAAUGUCUAGCAGCGGGGCUGACACCGAGUACCUUCCAGAUCUCGCGGCACGUGAAAAGCAGAGAGAAGGGCAUUUUAUGAAUCUAGUUGA
This is a long non-coding RNA of Ipomoea nil (Japanese morning glory), 161 nucleotides long. RefSeq lists it as uncharacterized. The record is from RefSeq and is a predicted model, not a curated record. The transcript is spliced from 2 exons. NCBI's taxonomy places the organism in Eukaryota, Viridiplantae, Streptophyta, Magnoliopsida, Solanales, Convolvulaceae.